This 251-nucleotide unclassified non-coding RNA is filed under the name plant metagenome. Its description in RNAcentral is "partial contains small subunit ribosomal RNA, internal transcribed spacer 1, and 5.8S ribosomal RNA". The stretch from base 1 to 54 matches the Rfam family "Eukaryotic small subunit ribosomal RNA", at positions 1778 to 1831 of the family's 1831-position model. The record is from RNAcentral.
GGAAGUAAAAGUUGUAACAAGGUCUCCGUAGGUGAACCUGCGGAGGGAUCAUUACAGAGUUCAUGCCCUACCGGGUAGAUCUCCCACCCUAUGUUAUUAUUACUUUGUUGCUUUGGCGGGCCGUUAGGCUCCGGCCCGACUACCGGCCCCGGCUGGUAAGCGCCCGCCAGAGGACCCAAAACCCUGAAUAUUAGUGUCGUCUGAGUACUAUAUAAUAGUUAAAACUUUCAACAACGGAUCUCUUGGUUAUG